RNAcentral lists this ribosomal RNA (279 nucleotides) under uncultured bacterium. RNAcentral's name for it is "partial 16S ribosomal RNA". It matches the Rfam family "Bacterial small subunit ribosomal RNA", at positions 506 to 784 of the family's 1533-position model. The record is from RNAcentral.
UGCCAGCCGCCGCGGUAAUACGUAGGGGGCUAGCGUUGUUCGGAAUUACUGGGCGUAAAGCGCGCGUAGGCGGGCUGGUCAGUUGGGGGUGAAAUCCCGGGGCUCAACCCCGGAACUGCCUCCGAUACUGGUAGUCUUGAGGUCGAGAGAGGUGAGUGGAAUUCCGAGUGUAGAGGUGAAAUUCGUAGAUAUCGGGAGGAACACCAGUGGCGAAGGCGACGAUCUGGACUGAUACUGACGCUGAGGUGCGAAAGCGUGGGGAGCAAACAGGAUUAGAUA